GACGAACGCUGGCGGCGUGCUUAACACAUGCAAGUCGAGCGGAAAGGCCCUUCGGGGUACUCGAGCGGCGAACGGGUGCGUAACACGUGCGUAACCUGCCCCAGACUUUGGGUUAACCCUCGGAAACGGGGGCUAAUACCGAAUACGACACAGCUUCGCUUCGGGUCUGUGUGGAAAGUUUUUCGGUUUGGGAUGGGCUCGCGGCCUAUCAGCUUGUUGGUGGGGUGAUGGCCUACCAAGGCUACGACGGGUAGCCGGCCUGAGAGGGCGACCGGCCACACUGGGACUGAGACACGGCCCAGACUCCCACGGGAGGCAGCAGUGGGGAAUAUUGCACAAUGGGCGGAAGCCUGAUGCAGCAACGCCGCGUGAGGGAUGACGGCCUUCGGGUUGUAAACCGCUUUCAGCAGGGACGAAGCGUAAGUGACGGUACCUGCAGAAGAAGCGCCGGCCAACUACGUG
Molecule: ribosomal RNA, 462 nt
Filed under: uncultured bacterium
Lineage: Bacteria
Description: partial 16S ribosomal RNA
Rfam family: Bacterial small subunit ribosomal RNA
Source: RNAcentral